Molecule: non-coding RNA, 99 nt
Organism: Acanthosepion pharaonis
Lineage: Eukaryota; Metazoa; Mollusca; Cephalopoda; Sepiida; Sepiidae
Source: the annotation of a GenBank genome assembly
UCUGAAACAUGAGUUUCCGUACGAUCACCGAAGUUAAGCAGCGUCGAGCCUGGGCAGCACAUGGAUGGGUGACCGCUUAGGAAUACCAAGUACUGUAAG